RNAcentral lists this ribosomal RNA (580 nucleotides) under uncultured fungus. Its description in RNAcentral is "eukaryotic LSU rRNA". The stretch from base 209 to 362 matches the Rfam family "5.8S ribosomal RNA". Lineage: Eukaryota; Fungi. The record is from RNAcentral.
CUUGGUCAUUUAGAGGAAGUAAAAGUCGUAACAAGGUCUCCGUAGGUGAACCUGCGGAGGGAUCAUUACUGAGUGAGGGCCUCCGGGUCCGACCUCCAACCCUUUGUGAACACAUCCCGUUGCUUCGGGGGCGACCCUGCCGGGCGCCCCCGGAGGACCACUCAAACACUGCAUCUCUGCGUCGGAGUUUACGAGUAAAUCGAAACAAAACUUUCAACAACGGAUCUCUUGGUUCUGGCAUCGAUGAAGAACGCAGCGAAAUGCGAUAAGUAAUGUGAAUUGCAGAAUUCAGUGAAUCAUCGAAUCUUUGAACGCACAUUGCGCCCCCUGGUAUUCCGGGGGGCAUGCCCGUUCGAGCGUCAUUACACCACUCCAGCCUCGCUGGGUAUUGGGCGUCUCGCGGGGGAGCAAUCCCCCGCGCGCCUCAAAGUCUCCGGCUGAGCGGUCUCGUCUCCCAGCGUUGUGGCAUCACGUCUCGCCGCGGAGUUUCGAGCCCUCGCGGCCGUUAAAUCACACCUCAGGUUGACCUCGGAUCGGGUAGGGAUACUCGCUGAACUUAAGCAUAUCAAUAAGCGGAGGA